Molecule: non-coding RNA, 4703 nt
Organism: Sus scrofa (pig)
Lineage: Eukaryota; Metazoa; Chordata; Mammalia; Artiodactyla; Suidae
Source: RefSeq, a predicted model, not a curated record
UGGUCUCCAAAGCUUGCCUUCCCAGGGAUUCUGGUUGGUAAAGGUGUUAUUUAACCACUCCGGGAAAUUCUCCCUUCUGCCACAAAAUCCAGUCUUCUAGAGGCUUCCCUAGGUUAUCUUUUACUUUAAAUCAUUCAUUUAUCUUUUACUUCAAAUCAUUCCUUGACGGGCCCUUACUGUUUGCCACGAACUGGGCUAGACUCUGGAGACACAAAGAUUAAAGAAUUCCUCUGACCCCGUCUUCCUCCGGACGCCUUCCCAGCCCACCCAGGCUGCCUAGAAGCCCCUAGUCCAACCAUCACCGUUCAGUUGCUGAACUCCACCCUGAACUUGAGCAUUUAUAUCAAACACGGUGCUGUUCCUGGUGCUAAGUAAUCUGCAUUCAUUAAGUCACUUAAUUCUCCCCACAACCUUAAUCCCACUGAACAGAUGAGGAAACAGAAGCACACAGCGAUUAGGUAGUUUAGUUAGUCUUAUCCGCUAAGCAGCGGGCUCCGGGAUCUGAAAGCACACCUUCUGGCCCCAGCUUUAAAUGUUCCUUUCUUUGUUUUUUCCACCGGCAUCUGAAAUCGUGCCAGAUCCCAAUGACUCUCUCCUGCGCCCACCACAAUAUCUGGCACCACGGGGAACCAAUCAUUUAUUCCUCAAGUGAAAGGAGGGAAGAAAAGGGAAAGAAAGAUGCAUACUAGUCAGUCCGUCCACGGCGGUUUGGUUAUCAACAUUUCCGAAGCCUCAACACUGAGCAAGUGCCUGAGAAGUGCGGAGGGAGCUCAAGAUAAACUGAGCGUUCAGCACGUUCAGUUACCAGUGGCCGUAGUGCCAAGAGCUCCGAGGAGACCCUUGCGUCGACCUGGCGGCCUCUUUUCUCUCGCCCCGUCCCCUUCGCCGGGAAUUCCUGCUCCACGUCUUCCGUCCGCUCCCUUCGCCGUCCCCUCCGGGAGCUCCGCCCUCCGGGCUUUCCCGCGCUCCGGCCUCCGGGAGCCGAGGGGCGCGUGGGAGCGCGCCGGGCGCCGCGGGCAUGCGCACUGGGGGCGGCGCACUGCGCAUGCGGGAAGAUGGCGGGCCGGGCGUCCUGAGCCCCGCGGGUCAUCCUGCUCUCUUCCCGCCCGCGUCCCAAGUCCCGAGGUCGUGGGGCAGCGGCGCGUCCGUCCGCGGGCCGGCCUAGGCAGGCGGCGCCUCGGAGCAGGCCAGGGACCCGGCGGGUGCAGGCUCCCGGGACCCGGCGUCUUGGGGGCGGCGCCCGAGUGGAGCGGGAGAAGGCGGGAGAGCUCGCAGGGUGCGAGGGCGAGGGGCGGCCGGCCGGGCAGCAUGAGUCAGCAGCGGCCGGCGCGCAAGCUGCCCAGCCUGCUCGUGGACCCGGCGGAGGAGACGGUGCGCCGCCGCUGCCGAGACCCCAUCAACGUGGAGGGCCUGCUGCCAUCAAAAAUAAGGAUAAAUUUAGAAGAUAAUGUACAAUAUGUGUCCAUGAGAAAAGCUCUAAAAGUGAAGAGACCUCGUUUUGAUGUAUCACUGGUUUAUUUAACUCGAAAAUUUAUGGAUCUUGUCAGAUCUGCUCCUGGGGGUAUUCUUGACUUAAACAAGGUUGCCACAAAACUGGGGGUACGGAAGCGAAGAGUGUACGACAUCACCAACGUCUUAGAUGGCAUCGAUCUGGUGGAAAAAAAGUCCAAGAACCAUAUUCGAUGGAUAGGAUCUGAUCUUAGCAACUUCGGAGCAGUGCCCCAGCAGAAGAAACUGCAGGAGGAGCUUUCCGACUUAUCGGCGAUGGAAGACGCUCUGGAUGAGUUGAUUAAGGAUUGUGCUCAGCAGUUGUUUGAGUUAACGGAUGACAAAGAAAACGAAAGACUAGCGUAUGUGACGUAUCAAGAUAUUCACAGCAUUCAGGCCUUCCAUGAACAGAUCGUAAUUGCAGUUAAAGCUCCGGCAGAAACCAGGUUGGAUGUUCCUGCUCCCAGAGAACACAACAAGUGCAGUGGUCAUGAUUGUCACCCACUUAAAGCUGAGGAAUCUGAAGCACAGAAAGAUGAACUUUCUCGCCGUCACACAGGGACAGUCAGAAUGUAAACCCAGGACUCGAUCACAGUGCACAUCCGGAGCACCAAAGGCCCCAUCGACGUUUACUUGUGCGAAGUGGAGCAGGGCCACUCGAGCAGUAAAGUGUCGGACGGGGCGGGGGCCUCUUCAUCUAAAAGCAAACGUCCCGGACCCCCUGAGAAAGAAGAGAAGACUCCGCAGCAAAGCGAAGAGCUGCUUGAAGUGAGCAACUGACGGCACGAGCGGGUCACGUGUCGCGGCCUCUCGGCACAUCCCUUGUGGACGGAUUCGCGUCCGAGGGGGUUCUCGGAGCAAUAACCGUCCUUGCUCCCCGGUUAGUAGCAGCAGCGAGACCGUCGCACCUCCGAGCAGUUCACCGCUUGGACGACUGGGUACUUGUGGUUCCUGCACUUGAAAACACCUCCUUUUAUAAUCAUGCACUCCUUUUUGUCAGCGAAGUAGACAUCCUGCCUCCUGAAAUGACGGAAUCGCAGAGUAUCACUGAAACAGCGAGCAGGCUGGCCGGACGUUUCCUCGUGGACGCUGCCCUGUGCCGCCCGGAUCAUGUGUUGUUAUCACAAAAGAAGUGGCCUUACACGGGUUCCUGUCUGCAAUAGAUGGGUGUCCACGUGCAUCCGGAUGUGAUGUCUUUGUAAAUAUUUGUAUGAUGUUUAGAUGACUUAUGAAAUAUGUCUAAGUGAAGCUUUUCAGCCUUGUACAGCCGAAAUGAUGUAUAUAUGGAAAGUGACAGACAUAUUCUCUAAUUUCGGUGGUAUCUCUAACUUAUUAGAAUCCUCUGAAUGAGGGUUAGAGGGAGUUUUUUCCAAACUUCUACAUGUAGAAGUAUCAUAAAUAUUCUAUCCAUUUAAAGCUCAUGGACUUAGGGAAUUCCCGUUGUGGCUUAGUGGUAAUGAACCCGACUAGUAUCCAUGAGGACGCAGGUUCAAUCCCUGGCCCUGCUCAAGGGGUUAAGGAUCCGGCAUUGCCAUGAGCUGUGGUGUAGUUUGUAGACCUAGCUCGGAUCCGGUGUGGCUGUAGGGUAGGCCUUCAGCUGCGGCUCCAAUUUGACCCCUGGCCUGGGAACUUCCAUAUGCCACGGGAGCGGCCCUAAAAAGACAGAGUUCGUGGAUCUUAAUUGCAGGAUCUCAAAGUGGUUCCCAGUGCUAAAAUUGGACUUUAGGCUCCCUGCAGAGUCAUUGUGUCCGAGCAGACUGGUGGCAUGCCCCGAGCUGUGGGAGCAAGUGUAGAAAUGCCAUCAGGUGGUGGCUUAAUGCCUUGCAAGACAUGACUCAAUCAUGGUGAAAAUUGGAAAUGAUUUUAAUCUGUUUUGCACGCAGAUUUUGUAAUAUGUUUCUGUGCACAGCCUUGCUCUUCGGUCAGAGGGGCCGAGUUGGUUGUACCUGCGCUCUCUCCGGCUCUGGUCCCACGUUCCGAGUCCCUAGCUGUCACUACCUCAUUGGGUAAGUCAUUUACCACUCUGUGCCUCGGUUUGCUCAGUAGGUUACCUGUAGACUGUGAGCUCCUUGAGGGCCUUUGUCUUAAUCAUUGUUAAACCUGGCGCCUCGCGCCACGCCUGGCACGUGAAAAGUGCCCAACAAGUGUUUGAACAAAUCAGUGAGUGAGCGAGCGAGUGAAUCGUGAAAUUAACAGUCCUUGGCUUGUCUACCAUACAGGGUUCUUGUGUCAUUCAGAUUCAUAUUUUAAACUUCUCUUGCUUUCACAGAAAGGAUAGAAGCAGCUUGAAAUUGAGAGCAGGUAUAAAAAGAGUUAACAGAGAAUCAAAAAGGAAAAUAUUGAAGAAUCAUGCUGAGUAUUUCAGAUUCGCGGACACAGUCCGAGCUCCCUCGGUCUUGGCCAGCCCCGUACCUCCGCUGCGCCCCGGCCUCCCCCCUCGAGGGCCCGCCGGCUGCUGCUGUGGCCCCGGCUGCUCAUCGCGGCCCCGGCUCAGCAGGAGGCAGGCGGACAGGGCUCCGAGGCGGGGAUCUGGCUGCAGGAUUGGCAGCCGUGGGUGAACGUGUGGCGGCAAAGACGAGAGAGUGGGUCGGGUCUGCUAAAGAGAGGGUACAGCCGGGGCUGGGGCGAGGCCUGGUGAGAUUUAUUUUAAGGGGAAAGACAGGAGAAAAAGCCUUUCCCGAGCGGGAAUCAUGACAGGUGGGGAGAAGCCAGCUGGAGAAGGUCGUGCCCAACCGCCAAAGGGGGCCUUGCUGCCGGGAGCCUCGUGUCUGAGCAGCGGUUCCUGACGUGUGAAACGCGGCAGACCUUCUCCUCUGCAGAUCGUGUCACAGGGGAAAGGCCAUCAUGUGAGCACAAGUCCUCUGUGAACUGUAGUCGUGUUGCAAACGUGUCACAUAAACCCACCUCUCCGCUCACGCCGUCUUCUGGUGUUCGGUCUCUUCUUUUUACAACUGCUCCAGCCAGCGUCCCCACAGCCAGCUGCCCCGAACAUCGCUGCCCCCCGCCGUGGGCGCAGGCGUACCUCCUCGCGUCGUGCUUCGCAGAUUCUGCGAUGCUUAAAAAUUGAAGGUUUGCGGCCACCCUGUGUCCGCAAAGUCUGUCGGCGUCAUUUUUCCCUGUAACAUUUGUUUAUUUCCUGCUUUGGUAAUUCUCGGUGAUAUUUCAAACCUUUUCAUUAUUAUUAUGUUUGUUAUAAAUAUAAAACUUGAACAGAU